RNAcentral lists this ribosomal RNA (821 nucleotides) under uncultured bacterium. RNAcentral's name for it is "bacterial SSU rRNA". It matches the Rfam family "Bacterial small subunit ribosomal RNA", at positions 61 to 895 of the family's 1533-position model. The record is from RNAcentral.
GUCGAACGAGCGAGAGGAGGUUUACUUUCUCAAGCGAGUGGCGUACGGGUGAGCAUCGCGUGAGGAACCUGCCUCAAAGAGGGGGACAACAGUUGGAAACGACUGCUAAUACCGCAUAAGCCCACGACCCGGCAUCGGGUAGAGGGAAAAGGAGCAAUCCGCUUUGAGAUGGCCUCGCGUCCGAUUAGCUAGUUGGUGAGGUAAUGGCCCACCAAGGCGACGAUCGGUAGCCGGACUGAGAGGUUGAACGGCCACAUUGGGACUGAGACACGGCCCAGACUCCUACGGGAGGCAGCAGUGGGGAAUAUUGCACAAUGGGGGAAACCCUGAUGCAGCGACGCCGCGUGGAGGAAGAAGGUCUUCGGAUUGUAAACUCCUGUUGUUGAGGAAGAUAAUGACGGUACUCAACAAGGAAGUGACGGCUAACUACGUGCCAGCAGCCGCGGUAAAACGUAGGUCACAAGCGUUGUCCGGAAUUACUGGGUGUAAAGGGAGCGCAGGCGGGAAGACAAGUUGGAAGUGAAAUCCAUGGGCUCAACCCAUGAACUGCUUUCAAAACUGUUUUUCUUGAGUAGUGCAGAGGUAGGCGGAAUUCCCGGUGUAGCGGUGGAAUGCGUAGAUAUCGGGAGGAACACCAGUGGCGAAGGCGGCCUACUGGGCACCAACUGACGCUGAGGCUCGAAAGUGUGGGUAGCAAACAGGAUUAGAUACCCUGGUAGUCCACACUGUAAACGAUGAUUACUAGGUGUUGGAGGAUUGACCCCUUCAGUGCCGCAGUUAACACAAUAAGUAAUCCACCUGGGGAGUACGACCGCAAGGUU